RNAcentral lists this ribosomal RNA (253 nucleotides) under uncultured bacterium. RNAcentral describes it as "partial 16S ribosomal RNA". It matches the Rfam family "Bacterial small subunit ribosomal RNA", at positions 524 to 776 of the family's 1533-position model. The record is from RNAcentral.
UACGAAGGGUGCAAGCGUUACUCGGAAUUACUGGGCGUAAAGCGUGCGUAGGUGGUUCGUUAAGUCUGAUGUGAAAGCCCUGGGCUCAACCUGGGAAUGGCAUUGGAUACUGGCGAUCUAGAGUGCGGUAGAGGGCAGUGGAAUUCCCGGUGUAGCAGUGAAAUGCGUAGAGAUCGGGAGGAACAUCUGUGGCGAAGGCGACUGCCUGGACCAGCACUGACACUGAGGCACGAAAGCGUGGGGAGCAAGCAGG